Molecule: long non-coding RNA, 1047 nt
Organism: Oncorhynchus keta (chum salmon)
Lineage: Eukaryota; Metazoa; Chordata; Actinopteri; Salmoniformes; Salmonidae
Exons: 7
Source: RefSeq, a predicted model, not a curated record
CUGGUUACAGGUAACACUAUACAAUGCCCUGACCACUGGUUACAGGUAACACUAUACAAUGCCCUGACCACUGGUUACAGGUAACACUAUACAAUGCCCUGACCACUGGUUACAAGUAACACUAUACACUGCCCUGACCACUGGUUACAGGUAACACUAUACACUGCCCUGACCACUGGUUACAAGUAACACUAUACACUGCCCUGACCACUGGUUACAGGUAACACUAUACACUGCCCUGACCACUGGUUACAGGUAACACUAUACACUGCCCUGACCACUGGUUACAGGUAACACUAUACAAUGCCCUGACCACUGGUUACAGGUAACACUAUACAAUGCCCUGACCACUGGUUACAGGUAACACUAUACAAUGCCCUGACCACUGGUUACAGGUAACACUGUGCAAUGCCCUGACCACUGGUUACAGGUAACACUAUACAAUGCCCUGAUCACUGGUUACAGGUAACACUAUACAAUGCCCUGCCCACUGGUUACAGGUAACACUAUACAAUGCCCUGACCACUGGUUACAGGUAACACUAUACAAUGCCCUGACCACUGGUUACAGGUAACACUGUGCAAUGCCCUGACCACUGGUUACAGGUAACACUAUACAAUGCCCUGCCCACUGGUUACAGGUAACACUAUACAAUGCCCUGACCACUGGUUACAGGUAACACUAUACAAUGCCCUGCCCACUGGUUACAGGUAACACUAUACAAUGCCCUGACCACUGGUUACAGGUAACACUAUACAAUGCCCUGACCACUGGUUACAGGUAACACUAUACAAUGCCCUGACCACUGGUUACAGGUAACACUAUACAAUGCCCUGCCCACUGGUUACAGGUAACACUAUACAAUGCCCUGCCCACUGGUUACAGGUAACACUAUACAAUGCCCUGCCCACUGGUUACAGGUAACACUAUACAAUGCCCUGCCCACUGGUUACAGGUAACACUAUACAAUGCCCUGACCACUGGUUACAGGUAACACUAUACAAUGCCCUGACCACUGGUUACAGGUAACACUAUACAAUGCCCUGA